UACGUAGGGAGCAAGCGUUGUUCGGAAUUACUGGGCAUAAAGGGCGCGUAGGCGGUCGUGACAAGUCACUUGUGAAAUCUCCGGGCUUAACUCGGAACGGUCAAGUGAUACUGUCGGACUAGAGUACAGAAGGGGCAACUGGAAUUCUCGGUGUAGCGGUGAAAUGCGUAGAUAUCGAGAGGAACACCUGCGGCGAAGGCGGGUUGCUGGGCUGAUACUGACGCUGAGGCGCGAAAGCCAGGGGAGCGAACGGG
RNAcentral lists this ribosomal RNA (254 nucleotides) under uncultured bacterium. RNAcentral's name for it is "partial 16S ribosomal RNA". It matches the Rfam family "Bacterial small subunit ribosomal RNA", at positions 524 to 776 of the family's 1533-position model. The record is from RNAcentral.